Molecule: ribosomal RNA, 458 nt
Filed under: uncultured bacterium
Lineage: Bacteria
Description: SSU rRNA
Rfam family: Bacterial small subunit ribosomal RNA
Source: RNAcentral
AGAAUCAACGCUGGCGGCGUGCCUAACACAUGCAAGUCGCACGAGAAAGUGGAGCAAUCCACGAGUAAAGUGGCGCACGGGUGAGUAACACGUGAAUGAUCUACCUCCGAGUGGGGAAUAACUGAGAGAAAUCUUAGCUAAUACCGCAUAAUACCCACGGGUCAAAGCAGCAAUGCGCUUGGAGAGGAGUUCGCGGCCGAUUAGCUAGUUGGCGGGGUAAUGGCCACCAAGGCGAUGAUCGGUAUCCGGCCUGAGAGGGCGCACGGACACACUGGAACUGAAACACGGUCCAGACUCCUACGGGAGGCAGCAGUGGGGAAUUUUGCGCAAUGGGGGAAACCCUGACGCAGCAACGCCGCGUGGAGGAUGAAAUCCCUUGGGAUGUAAACUCCUUUCGAUAGGGAAGAUAAUGACGGUACCUAUAGAAGAAGCCCGGCUAACUUCGUGCCAGCAGCCGC